CCACCUUUCCCCAGUCACCAGGCGGAAGACAGGUGAGGAGGGUGUGCAGCAGCUGCGAGGGAAAAAGAAGAACCCUAUUUCCGCUAUUUCACCGUUAUUCUAGAGGGAAUGCGCUACGUCACAGCACAAGCGAAGGCUGACUAAACACGAGCUGAAACUUUUUUUCUUCCCCGGGAGUGACGACGCAGUGACUGGGGAAUGACUUGACUCUCGACUCUUGGAAAUGGAUGAACAACGAGCUUUGGAGAAAGUCCCUCUUCGCCCGCCAGCCCAGCUCCUUCUCGGCCUUGCUGCAGGAUGCCACCACACUGGCCACGUCCCCAGCCCGGCGGCCCACCACGCGGUAUGGCACUG
This is a long non-coding RNA of Eriocheir sinensis (Chinese mitten crab), 354 nucleotides long. RefSeq lists it as uncharacterized. The transcript has 3 exons. NCBI's taxonomy places the organism in Eukaryota, Metazoa, Arthropoda, Malacostraca, Decapoda, Varunidae. The record is from RefSeq and is a predicted model, not a curated record.